RNAcentral lists this ribosomal RNA (723 nucleotides) under Piscibacillus halophilus. RNAcentral's name for it is "bacterial SSU rRNA". It matches the Rfam family "Bacterial small subunit ribosomal RNA", at positions 61 to 752 of the family's 1533-position model. The record is from RNAcentral. Lineage: Bacteria; Bacillati; Bacillota; Bacilli; Caryophanales; Bacillaceae.
GUCGAGCGCGGGAAGCAACUGAAUCCUUCGGGAGGACGUUUGUGGAACGAGCGGCGGACGGGUGAGUAACACGUGGGCAACCUGCCUGUAAGACUGGGAUAACUCCGGGAAACCGGGGCUAAUACCGGAUAACUCAUCGGAUCGCAUGAUCCGAGGUUGAAAGAUGGCUUCUUGCUAUCACUUACAGAUGGGCCCGCGGCGCAUUAGCUAGUUGGUGAGGUAACGGCUCACCAAGGCCACGAUGCGUAGCCGACCUGAGAGGGUGAUCGGCCACACUGGGACUGAGACACGGCCCAGACUCCUACGGGAGGCAGCAGUAGGGAAUCAUCCGCAAUGGACGAAAGUCUGACGGUGCAACGCCGCGUGAGUGAGGAAGGCCUUCGGGUCGUAAAACUCUGUUGUUAGGGAAGAACAAGUUCCGUUCGAAUAGGGCGGAGCCUUGACGGUACCUAACCAGAAAGCCACGGCUAACUACGUGCCAGCAGCCGCGGUAAUACGUAGGUGGCAAGCGUUGUCCGGAAUUAUUGGGCGUAAAGCGCGCGCAGGCGGUUCCUUAAGUCUGAUGUGAAAGCCCACGGCUCAACCGUGGAGGGUCAUUGGAAACUGGGGAACUUGAAGACAGAAGAGGAGAGCGGAAUUCCACGUGUAGCGGUGAAAUGCGUAGAUAUGUGGAGGAACACCAGUGGCGAAGGCGGCUCUCUGGUCUGUGCUUGACGCUGAGGC